RNAcentral lists this ribosomal RNA (397 nucleotides) under uncultured bacterium. RNAcentral's name for it is "partial 16S ribosomal RNA". It matches the Rfam family "Bacterial small subunit ribosomal RNA", at positions 523 to 918 of the family's 1533-position model. The record is from RNAcentral.
AUACGUAGGGGGCGAGCGUUGUCCGGAAUGAUUGGGCGUAAAGGGCGCGUAGGCGGCCCGGUAAGUCUGGAGUGAAAGUCCUGUUUUUAAGAUGGGAAUUGCUUUGGAUACUGUCGGGCUUGAGUGCAGGAGAGGUAAGUGGAAUUCCCAGUGUAGCGGUGAAAUGCGUAGAGAUUGGGAGGAACACCAGUGGCGAAGGCGACUUACUGGACUGUAACUGACGCUGAGGCGCGAAAGUGUGGGGAGCAAACAGGAUUAGAUACCCUGGUAGUCCACACUGUAAACGAUGAAUGCUAGGUGUAGGGGGUAUCGACCCCUUCUGUGCCGCAGUCAACACAAUAAGCAUUCCGCCUGGGGAGUUCGGCCGCAAGGUUGAAACUCAAAUGAAUUGACGGGG